GUGAAUCAUCGAAUUUUUGAACGCAAAUUGCACUCUCCUCUAAGAGUAUGCCUGUUUUAGUGUCAGCCUAUAAAAAUCGACAUCGUUUCUGUUUCUCGUUGGCGUUCGUCGGAAAUUGGUGCAUCUUAAAUCCUUUUGAUUUAAUCUACUUAAAAUUUUCUUUUGUUUCCAUUAACGUUUCUAAGAUCUAUUUCUUUACACGUUUAAGGUAUCGAUUUUUACUAUACGUGACCGUCAUAUCAGAUCUCGUCCAUAAUCUUUCAUUUACUGACAUCAGACAGGUAAGAUUACCCACUGAA
RNAcentral lists this unclassified non-coding RNA (299 nucleotides) under Glomus sp. Its description in RNAcentral is "partial internal transcribed spacer 2". The stretch from base 1 to 65 matches the Rfam family "5.8S ribosomal RNA", at positions 84 to 154 of the family's 154-position model. Lineage: Eukaryota; Fungi; Glomeromycota; Glomeromycetes; Glomerales; Glomeraceae. The record is from RNAcentral.